UCUGAUCUCAUUGAAACAAAGAAAGAUAGAGAUGAGCCAGUUUUGCUUAUUUUACUCUUUAAGGGAGUACGAAAGAACUCAGGUCUUUGGAUUUUUGUUUGGUGUAAUUCUGGAUCACUAGCAGUGAUCAUACUAAGUCUUUAGGCCUUGAUCCUGCAGAAAUGCUUAAUACUUAACAUAAUAGGAAUAGUUCUUCCCUCUGCAGCUUCUGCUCUAUACUGGAAUUUGUAUUUUUUCCUUCAGGUGCUGUUCCAGCCAAGGAUGCAGUUCUUCCUGACAUAUUACAGAACCUCUCUGGUUUGCAGUUUCACUUACAAGUUGCCUGCAUGAAGCUGGGGAUGGAUUCUUCAGACACAGAGUGAGCAGUAAGUGGCACAUUUAUGCCUUAGGUUGGAUGAAAUACUCUUGAAAACCUUCAGAAGACUACUUGGAAAAGAUACUGUUUUCAGUGAAGCUACAAGCAGGAAACUACCACUGGCCUGGGCAGGCACCUAUCCAAAGUUCAGGCAGUUGUUGUAGGCAGAGAGGUCUGUUGUUGACAGAGAGAUCUGCAGCCUUGAGAGAAAGGCAUGCUGUUGUUCUGUUCAUUUGCUGUCACUGCCAUGGAGAGAUCCUUUGACUCUCAGCAAAACAUGACCAGACCACAGUUGCUAAAACUGUCCAGUGUUGAAGUAAUUUAUGCAACCUGCUCCCUGUAUCACCAUAAUAGAGAGCAUCAGCACUUUUUGACUGUGGCCUUUGUACAACAGCUGUGCAUGCAUACAAAUAUAUGAAACAUUUAAGUGGUAGAAAAAUAAUAUAUAUUAAGAAAUUGCAGGAAGAAUCCUUUUAUGCAAUCAAUAUUGGAAAACAAAUUCUGGAUCUGCAUAUAAGUCUGUGGGAAAGGGUUAGUACCUUACUGGUUUUAGUCUUAAGAAGGAACUAUAUGUCCCCUUUUUAUGACACAAAAAAUAGAAUAUGGCAUCUGAGGAUGAAUAAUUCUGACUAUACACUCUGCCUUUUGUGUCAUCUUUUUUCCCCAAAAAGACAAGAAAAGCUGCCUGAGACAAACUUGUAUGUUGCGCUUUGCACUCACUGCAUUUCAUUGCUGCAGUAAGACAUGUACGUGAGCAGUAGCACAUACAUCAAAUUGUACAGGUCUGGGUUCAGUAUUGCCUCAUGAUCAAUUGACUUCUCCGUCCUUUAUUUCCAUUCCAUAGGUUUACAUAUUAUUUAAUUUUCUGCAUUAAAAAAACCUUCUGGCCAGGCAAACAGAUGUUUUGAAUCAGUAUCACAGGAUUCCUGCUGCCUGUAUUUCACUUGUCCUUGUGAUGAAGACAAAUGUGGAAGGUGAUCAUACAACAAUGCUGCAGGAUUGUUGUUUAUAUACAGGUUAUCUGAAAACUCCUGGGUUUUUCCAGUCCUUUGGGAAGGCGCUGGCAGAAGCAAUACGUUUUUGGAUGCAUGUGUUUAUUAUUCAUUGCAGGCUACCUAUGUCAGAGAUCACAUUGCCAGUGACAGUUCUUUUUAUCCUUUCGCUAGCAGGGCGUCAAGUACAUGCUGGAUGGGAAGCAUGUGGUGUAAAAUACUGUGGUGAGUACGUGCAGGGCCACUUAGGUGAUACUUUUAGAAAUGAUUUAAACUAAUCUAAGAUGAUACUGUUGUCAAACUGUAUGUGGCCGUAGGUUCCUGUCUCACUAGUUUGCUGCUGCUGCAGUCAUGCAGCUGAGCAGCCAGUAACAGCAGUAAACUGGCCCAGGAGUAAGUCAGGUUUUUUGUAGGUUUAUGUUUUUGCCAAACUAACCAGGCUUAACUAGAGGACAUAGAAGGGACCUUUUUAUUAUUAUU
Molecule: long non-coding RNA, 1827 nt
Organism: Pezoporus occidentalis (night parrot)
Lineage: Eukaryota; Metazoa; Chordata; Aves; Psittaciformes; Psittacidae
Exons: 5
Source: RefSeq, a predicted model, not a curated record